RNAcentral lists this ribosomal RNA (682 nucleotides) under Salmonella enterica. RNAcentral's name for it is "partial 23S ribosomal RNA". It matches the Rfam family "Bacterial large subunit ribosomal RNA", at positions 566 to 1190 of the family's 2925-position model. RNAcentral also lists the same sequence under 1 other name. Lineage: Bacteria; Pseudomonadati; Pseudomonadota; Gammaproteobacteria; Enterobacterales; Enterobacteriaceae. The record is from RNAcentral.
ACAUCCGCAUCCUUUGCUGAGGAUACGGUUAACGGAGCGAAAGCGACGUUCAACCGCAAAACAAGCAGAGGGGGCUUAGUGGUGGGGUGACUGCGUACCUUUUGUAUAAUGGGUCAGCGACUUAUAUUCUGUAGCAAGGUUAACCGAAUAGGGGAGCCGGAGGGAAACCGAGUCUUAAUUGGGCGUUAAGUUGCAGGGUAUAGACCCGAAACCCGGUGAUCUAGCCAUGGGCAGGUUGAAGGUUGGGUAACACUAACUGGAGGACCGAACCGACUAAUGUUGAAAAAUUAGCGGAUGACCUGUGGCUGGGGGUGAAAGGCCAAUCAAACCGGGAGAUAGCUGGUUCUCCCCGAAAGCUAUUUAGGUAGCGCCUCGUGAAUUCAUCUCCGGGGGUAGAGCACUGUUUCGGCUAGGGGGCCAUCCCGGCUUACCAACCCGAUGCAAACUGCGAAUACCGGAGAAUGUUAUCACGGGAGACACACGGCGGGUGCUAACGUCCGUCGUGAAGAGGGAAACAACCCAGACCGCCAGCUAAGGUCCCAAAGUCAUGGUUAAGUGGGAAACGAUGUGGGAAGGCCCAGACAGCCAGGAUGUUGGCUUAGAAGCAGCCAUCAUUUAAAGAAAGCGUAAUAGCUCACUGGUCGAGUCGGCCUGCGCGGAAGAUGUAACGGGGCUAAACCAU